This 72-nucleotide transfer RNA is filed under the name Fusarium proliferatum ET1. It matches the Rfam family "tRNA". From Rfam's summary of the family: Transfer RNA (tRNA) molecules are approximately 80 nucleotides in length. Their secondary structure includes four short double-helical elements and three loops (D, anti-codon, and T loops). Lineage: Eukaryota; Fungi; Ascomycota; Sordariomycetes; Hypocreales; Nectriaceae. The record is from RNAcentral.
GGGCGAAUGGUUUGGUGGUAUAAUACUCCCUUAGCAUGGGAGUGGUCCAGGGUUCGAUUCCCUGUUCGUCCA